CGAGAGCCUGAUCCAGCAAUGCCGCGUGCAGGAUGAAGGCCUUCGGGUUGUAAACUGCUUUUGUACGGAACGAAAAGCUUCGGGUUAAUACCCUGGAGUCAUGACGGUACCGUAAGAAUAAGCACCGGCUAACUACGUGCCAGCAGCCGCGGUAAUACGUAGGGUGCAAGCGUUAAUCGGAAUUACUGGGCGUAAAGCGUGCGCAGGCGGUUUUGUAAGACAGAGGUGAAAUCCCCGGGCUCAACCUGGGAACUGCCUUUGUGACUGCAAGGCUAGAGUACGGCAGAGGGGGAUGGAAUUCCGCGUGUAGCAGUGAAAUGCGUAGAUAUGCGGAGGAACACCGAUGGCGAAGGCAAUCCCCUGGGCCUGUACUGACGCUCAUGCACGAAAGCGUGGGGAGCAAACAGGAUUAGAUACCCUGGUAGUCCACGCCCUAAACGAUGUCAACUGGUUGUUGGGUCUUAACUGACUCAGUAACGAAGCUAACGCGUGAAGUUGACCGCCUGGGGAG
RNAcentral lists this ribosomal RNA (511 nucleotides) under uncultured bacterium. Its description in RNAcentral is "bacterial SSU rRNA". It matches the Rfam family "Bacterial small subunit ribosomal RNA", at positions 376 to 880 of the family's 1533-position model. The record is from RNAcentral.